Molecule: unclassified non-coding RNA, 391 nt
Filed under: uncultured Basidiomycota
Lineage: Eukaryota; Fungi; Basidiomycota
Description: sequence contains ITS2
Rfam family: 5.8S ribosomal RNA (bases 1-153)
Source: RNAcentral
AACUUUCAGCAAUGGAUUUCUUGGCUCUCGCAUCGAUGAAGAACGCAGCGAAAUGUGAUACGUAAUGUGAAUUGCAGACUCAGUGAAUCAUCGAAUCUUUGAACGCAUCUUGCGCUCUCUGGUAUUCCGGAGAGCAUGUCUGUCUGAGUGUUGUGAAUUCUCAUCUCCGGUUUUCUUUGAUUAGUUGGCCGUGGGGAUGGAGAUGGUCGUUGCCGUGUUUUACAUGGCUGGACUGAAAUUGAAGAGGCGACGCAUGAGGCGGCCUGAUCCAAUUAGUAACUAGCCAAUUGGAGACGCAACAUAUGGAGCCCUUUAUAUUACUGUUUGAAAAAUCGACCUCAGAUCAGGCAGGACUACCCGCUGAACUUAAGCAUAUCAAUAAGCGGAGGCU